GCCCGAGUGGUGGAAUCGGAAGACACGGCAGACUCAAAAUUUGCUGCUGAAAAUGCGUGCCGGUUCAAGUCCGGCCUUGGGUACCA
Molecule: transfer RNA, 86 nt
Filed under: Rhodoferax saidenbachensis
Lineage: Bacteria; Pseudomonadati; Pseudomonadota; Betaproteobacteria; Burkholderiales; Comamonadaceae
Description: tRNA-Leu
Rfam family: tRNA
About the family: Transfer RNA (tRNA) molecules are approximately 80 nucleotides in length. Their secondary structure includes four short double-helical elements and three loops (D, anti-codon, and T loops). Further hydrogen bonds mediate the characteristic L-shaped molecular structure. tRNAs have two regions of fundamental functional importance: the anti-codon, which is responsible for specific mRNA codon recognition, and the 3' end, to which the tRNAs corresponding amino acid is attached (by aminoacyl-tRNA synthetases). tRNAs cope with the degeneracy of the genetic code in two manners: having more than one tRNA (with a specific anti-codon) for a particular amino acid; and 'wobble' base-pairing, i.e. permitting non-standard base-pairing at the 3rd anti-codon position.
Source: RNAcentral